ACAACGACUCUCGGCAACGGAUAUCUCGGCUCUCGCAUCGAUGAAGAACGCAGCGAAAUGCGAUACUUGGUGUGAAUUGCAGAAUCCCGUGAACCAUCGAGUCUUUGAACGCAAGUUGCGCCCAAAGCCUUCGGGCCGAGGGCACGUCUGCCUGGGUGUCACGC
This 164-nucleotide ribosomal RNA is filed under the name Phyllanthus magudensis. RNAcentral's name for it is "5.8S ribosomal RNA". It matches the Rfam family "5.8S ribosomal RNA". Rfam says of the family: 5.8S ribosomal RNA (5.8S rRNA) is a component of the large subunit of the eukaryotic ribosome. It is transcribed by RNA polymerase I as part of the 45S precursor that also contains 18S and 28S rRNA. Lineage: Eukaryota; Viridiplantae; Streptophyta; Magnoliopsida; Malpighiales; Phyllanthaceae. The record is from RNAcentral.